Molecule: non-coding RNA, 633 nt
Filed under: Thermoactinomyces vulgaris
Lineage: Bacteria; Bacillati; Bacillota; Bacilli; Caryophanales; Thermoactinomycetaceae
Description: bacterial SSU rRNA
Rfam family: Bacterial small subunit ribosomal RNA
Source: RNAcentral
GUCUAAUACCGGAUAUGACUGUCCAUCGCAUGGUGGAUGGUGUAAAGCUCCGGCGGUGCAGGAUGAGCCCGCGGCCUAUCAGCUUGUUGGUGCGGUAGUGGCGCACCAAGGCGACGACGGGUAGCCGGCCUGAGAGGGCGACCGGCCACACUGGGACUGAGACACGGCCCAGACUCCUACGGGAGGCAGCAGUGGGGAAUAUUGCACAAUGGGCGAAAGCCUGAUGCAGCGACGCCGCGUGAGGGAUGACGGCCUUCGGGUUGUAAACCUCUUUCAGCAGGGAAGAAGCGAAAGUGACGGUACCUGCAGAAGAAGCGCCGGCUAACUACGUGCCAGCAGCCGCGGUAAUACGUAGGGCGCAAGCGUUGUCCGGAAUUAUUGGGCGUAAAGAGCUCGUAGGCGGCUUGUCACGUCGGAUGUGAAAGCCCGGGGCUUAACCCCGGGUCUGCAUUCGAUACGGGCUAGCUAGAGUGUGGUAGGGGAGAUCGGAAUUCCUGGUGUAGCGGUGAAAUGCGCAGAUAUCAGGAGGAACACCGGUGGCGAAGGCGGAUCUCUGGGCCAUUACUGACGCUGAGGAGCGAAAGCGUGGGGAGCGAACAGGAUUAGAUACCCUGGUAGUCCACGCCGUAAACG